RNAcentral lists this ribosomal RNA (377 nucleotides) under uncultured bacterium. Its description in RNAcentral is "bacterial SSU rRNA". It matches the Rfam family "Bacterial small subunit ribosomal RNA", at positions 521 to 896 of the family's 1533-position model. The record is from RNAcentral.
UAAGACGAGUCUCACGAACGUUAUUCGGAAUUACUGGGCUUAAAGGGUGCGUAGGCGGUGGAGUAAGUCGGAUGUGAAAUACCUUAGCUUAACUAGGGAACUGCACUCGAUACUACUUUGCUAGAGUAAGACAGAGGUGAGUGGAACUGAGGGUGGAGCGGUGAAAUGCGUUGAUAUCCUCAGGAACACCGGUGGCGAAGGCGACUCACUGGGUCUUUACUGACGCUGAUGCACGAAAGCUAGGGUAGCAAACGGGAUUAGAUACCCCGGUAGUCCUAGCCGUAAACUCUGAGAACUUGAUUGAAGGGUCCUCCAUAGCCUUUCAGUCGUAGCGAAAGUGUUAAGUUCUCCGCCUGGGGAGUAUGGUCGCAAGGCUG